AGCACCUACGGGGCGCAGCAGUAGGGAAUUUUCGUCAAUGGGCGCAAGCCUGAACGAGCGAUGCCGCGUGAGUGAAGAAGGCCUUCGGGUCGUAAAGCUCUGUUGCGGGGGAAAAAAGGCAGCAUCAGGAAAUGGGUGCUGACUGAUGGUGCCCCGCCAGAAAGUCACGGCUAACUACGUGCCAGCAGCCGCGGUAAUACGUAGGUGGCGAGCGUUAUCCGGAAUGAUUGGGUUUAAAGGGUGCGUAGGCGGGCUUUUAAGUCAGCGGUAAAAAUUCGGGGCUCAACCCCGUCCGGCCGUUGACA
This 305-nucleotide ribosomal RNA is filed under the name uncultured bacterium. Its description in RNAcentral is "bacterial SSU rRNA". It matches the Rfam family "Bacterial small subunit ribosomal RNA", at positions 335 to 632 of the family's 1533-position model. The record is from RNAcentral.